Molecule: RNase P RNA, 339 nt
Filed under: Candidatus Sacchlamyda saccharinae
Lineage: Bacteria; Pseudomonadati; Chlamydiota; Chlamydiia; Parachlamydiales; Candidatus Rhabdochlamydiaceae
Description: RNase P RNA component class A
Rfam family: Bacterial RNase P class A
About the family: Ribonuclease P (RNase P) is a ubiquitous endoribonuclease, found in archaea, bacteria and eukarya as well as chloroplasts and mitochondria. Its best characterised activity is the generation of mature 5'-ends of tRNAs by cleaving the 5'-leader elements of precursor-tRNAs. Cellular RNase Ps are ribonucleoproteins.
Source: RNAcentral
AAGGGAAAGUAGGCAAUCGCUAUUACCUUUGGUAAUAGAGGAAAGUCCGGACUUCGCAGGGAGAGAUGCCAGCGAAACGCUGGGGGCCGCAAGGCUACGGAAAGUGCAACAGCAAACACCCCGGGCACGCAAGUGCCACAGGCUGAAAAUGAUCUCUUUAGGAGAGAUCCCCUAGCUCGCAAGAGCAAGGCGCUGUAAACCCCAUCUGAAGCAAGAAGCGACGAGCUGCAAUGGUUUCCCGCCAGGCUCAUUGCCCCGAUCGCUCGAGGCAUUUGGUGACAAAUGCCCUAGACGAAUGAUUGUCCAAGACAGAAUCCGGCUUAACGCUUUCCCUUCUUU